UAGAAGCAGCUGCUCACCUGGUAAAGCUGCUGAACUCACCUGCUCAGGGGGUGAUGAGUUCAGGUUGGUGGGAGGAGCCAGUCGCUGUGCAGGAAGUCUGGAGCUGAAAUAUCUUGGUGAACAGAGACCUGUGGAGAAUGAUGGCUUCACCAUGAAGACAGCAGCUCUCAUCUGUGAACAGCUGAAAUGUGACUCUGCUGUUUCUUUCGAAACAACAGAUGUUUCAGAGCAAUUUAUGUGGUUUAUCCACCCAGGAUGUUUUCAAUCUCCAUCUGAUCCAUGGAACUGUCUGGAGUCAUGGAGCUCCUCUCACACCCUGAAACUCACCUGCUCAGAUCCAACAAAUGAGAUCAUCACAGCGGAGGUCCUGCUGCCGUUUCUCGCGCUGAUGUUUCUCCUGAUGCUGGGCAUGUGGCUGUACUGUAAGGUCAGCAGGGGGCAGACCGACAGACCACAAGACCAGGGGAACAUUGAGCUGACUGUGGAGGGAUGAAGUCGAUCCACUGUGGAAGACAAGAUGUUUUUUUAUGAGCUUUUUCCAGAAAUGAUGAAUCGGAUCUUGUUCCCACAGACAGUGGAACAAGGUUCCUUUUCCUUUUGUGGACUGUGGUGAAAAAACAGAGCAUUCUUUUGUCGUACACUGGACCAUGAUGGAUGUCCUUUUUAAUCUAUCUUUUAACCCUAUUCACUCCUUUUUCAUUUGUUUUUUUAGUAAUAUCAUGUAUACUCAUUUAAUCAUAUAUUAUCAUCUGCUCCCCCUCAUGAUGUUUGACUGUGUUUAACUGAUAAGAUAUAUUUUUGAUUGUAAUCCAACUUAUUAGCUUUUGCAAAAUGUUUGUUUUUUCUACACAAAGGUGAGGCAGGAAGUGGUUUGCAGCAGGUGUUGAACCGUAUGGAACCUUACCAGUUUGUAUUUCUUCCUGAGUGGUUCGAUCUGAGCCUGAAGAACUCUCGUGCGGAUCUCACGUAGACUGCAUGUGUCACGGAGUAAUUCAUAAUUCCACUUGUCGUCACUUUUGGUUUGUACGAGUCGCGCGUUGUGACGACUGACCAGCAUUUUCAUUCAUUGCUGCUGCAGGUAAAUAAGUAUAUAUCGUUCAUGUAUGUUGGCCCAUCAGUUUGAGGCUGGAGGCGUUUGAGGGGAUUGUGUUUGUUACCUGACUGUAAGCAAAUGUGAUGACUGACCAGCAUUUUCAUUCAUUGCUGUUGCAGGAAGCAAUAAACGGCCGUCGUGGGCCGAAAUUUCUAC
Molecule: long non-coding RNA, 1249 nt
Organism: Salarias fasciatus (jewelled blenny)
Lineage: Eukaryota; Metazoa; Chordata; Actinopteri; Blenniiformes; Blenniidae
Exons: 4
Source: RefSeq, a predicted model, not a curated record